Molecule: small RNA, 495 nt
Filed under: uncultured Paraglomus
Lineage: Eukaryota; Fungi; Glomeromycota; Glomeromycetes; Paraglomerales; Paraglomeraceae
Description: SSU rRNA
Rfam family: Eukaryotic small subunit ribosomal RNA
Source: RNAcentral
AGCAGCCGCGGUAAUUCCAGCUCCAAUAGCGUAUAUUAAAGUUGUUGUGGUUAAAAAGCUCGUAGUUGAACCUUGGGCCUGGCUGGCCGGUCCGCCUCACCGCGUGUACUGGUCCGGCCGGGCCUUUCCCUCUGUGGAACCCCAUGCCCUUCACUGGGUGUGGCGGGGAAACAGGACUUUUACUGUGAAAAAUUAGAGUGCUCCAGGCAGGCCUAUGCUCGAAUACAUUAGCAUGGAAUAAUAGAAUAGGACGUGUGGUUCUAUUUUGUUGGUUUCUAGGACCGCCGUAAUGAUUAAUAGGGACAGUCGGGGGCAUCAGUAUUCAAUUGUCAGAGGUGAAAUUCUUGGAUUUAUUGAAGACUAACUACUGCGAAAGCAUUUGCCAAGGAUGUUUUCAUUAAUCAGGAACGAAAGUUAGGGGAUCGAAGACGAUCAGAUACCGUCGUAGUCUUAACCAUAAACUAUGCCGACUAGGGAUCGGACGGUGUUAUUUUU